CAUUCAGUAGCUUGCUACUGUUAGGGGGGUCCAUUAGUCUGUAUAGUAUCACUACUGAUGAGCAGCACGACUCCCUGUCUAUACCCUUGUCUUUUGCGCACUCAUGUUUCCUCGGCGGCUUGAUACCCGCCGGCUGGAUCAAUCUAUGACCUUUUUAAUUUUCAAUCAGCGUCUGAAAAACCUAAUAAUUA
Molecule: unclassified non-coding RNA, 191 nt
Filed under: soil metagenome
Description: partial internal transcribed spacer 1
Source: RNAcentral